RNAcentral lists this ribosomal RNA (253 nucleotides) under uncultured prokaryote. RNAcentral describes it as "partial 16S ribosomal RNA". It matches the Rfam family "Bacterial small subunit ribosomal RNA", at positions 524 to 776 of the family's 1533-position model. The record is from RNAcentral.
UACGGGGGGGGCAAGCGUUGUUCGGAAUUACUGGGCGUAAAGGGCUCGUAGGUGGCCAACUAAGUCAGACGUGAAAUCCCUCGGCUUAACCGGGGAACUGCGCAUGAUACUGGAUGGCUUGAGUUUGGGAGAGGGAUGCGGAAUUCCAGGUGUAGCGGUGAAAUGCGUAGAUAUCUGGAGGAACACCGGUGGCGAAGGCGGCAUCCUGGACCAUGACUGACGCUGAUGAGCGAAAGCCAGGGGAGCAAACGGG